Molecule: transfer RNA, 74 nt
Organism: Cylindrobasidium torrendii FP15055 ss-10
Lineage: Eukaryota; Fungi; Basidiomycota; Agaricomycetes; Agaricales; Physalacriaceae
Rfam family: tRNA
About the family: Transfer RNA (tRNA) molecules are approximately 80 nucleotides in length. Their secondary structure includes four short double-helical elements and three loops (D, anti-codon, and T loops).
Source: Rfam
GGCCGACUAGCUCAGUUGGUUAGAGCGUCGUGCUAAUAACGCGAAGGUCUUGGGUUCGAUCCCCACGUUGGCCA